Non-coding RNA from Peromyscus maniculatus bairdii (prairie deer mouse), 2207 nucleotides. NCBI's taxonomy places the organism in Eukaryota, Metazoa, Chordata, Mammalia, Rodentia, Cricetidae. The record is from RefSeq and is a predicted model, not a curated record.
CGGGACUUUCCCUGACCUCUGGGCUGGGUCACAGCCUGCUUCUCCCACCUUUACUAACUCCCUCGUCUCAGCUCAGGCACCAGCCACCAGGAAAGCCCCUUCCAGGGGACUAGGAAAGUCACUUUCAGAGCCCAGCUUCCACUGGCCUGUGUGGACAGCCCGCCAGGGCUGGAACUAGAGAACUCUGCUGAGGAGAAGCAGCAGAAUGUAUCCUACAGGAUAUCGAUGUGUUGUUUUUGUCACUGGUAUUCACCUCACACCUGGAGCAUCUGGGAGAAGAGGUCUGGAUGGAGAGGAAUCACAUUCUGCUUACUACUUCCAGGAAUGGAUUCCUUCCCACAAGAUUGGCAGUUCUUUAAAAUUUGGGAUGAAAGAUGUCGCCACCGUUCUUAUUAGCAUAUAUUAAUUGUACAGUGUACUUCAAUUAUGCUUAUUUCCCAUCACUCUAUCUUCCGAUUUUGCUCUCCGCUUCUCAGAUAGUCUGAGAUGAGAAAUUUAUUCCUUAUGAAUGUCAAGAUAGGUGUUGUGCCAAUGAAGGGAGUUGAGAUUUAUGGGCACCGACUGUCUUAGAACUUGAGCUAAAAGCAUCAUUUGAAUUUUCCUUAAUAUUUAUUAUAUUUAGGAAGCAUAAAGACAUCUCAUGCUUUGAAAUUUCUAGUCCUAUUUAAGAGAGAUUUUCUGAGUGAAAGGCCACCAGGUGACAUCUACUGUCUAGAUUGUACUACCGAAGUGGGAUUUGAUUCCAGGAACACAAACAGUCCUAGAAAGUAGAAUGAAACACAGAGUCAAGCAUCUGAAUGGACGAAGAGAGCUGUAGACAUCAGAAAACGACUCUGCCUCAUACCCCUGAAGACCUGUUGCUGUUUCCUGCAGGCAUGGAGAAAGCCUGCCAACUUUGGAGGCUAGAAAAGAACCUGGGUCCCAAGAUAAGUUGUGAAGAAUGGGAAGCCCAAGAUAAGGCAGCAGCAGAUUUGCUGCCUCCUACUUGCUUUCUUCUCAAGAUGAGGCCUUCCUUCUCUUUGAAUCCUUUUUUGUAAGGAUCCUAAUCCACAGCUUCAUUUCUUGUCAUCAUCAUCAUCAUCAUCAUCAUCAUCAUCAUCAUCAUCUUAAUGUAUGAAUUUCACGAAGACACAGACAUUCAGACCACAGCAGACGGGAUUCCCAAAUUGGUGCCAUACCUGUGCUUUCAACAGGUCAUACCCCAGUUCUGCUGACCACCUGUCCUAACUGAUGGUGCAGGUUCCAGACCAAUGGUUUCCAUAGAGAAGCCCCAUUAUUAGGACUUGUUAGAUAUAAAACAGUUCCUUGGUUCUAGGUAGUGCUUUGGAAAUAGCUUAGUGGAGCAGGUUUAAAAAUGGUGGCUCUUGGCAGAUACAAUGCAGAUGGAAAAACAGAUAUGCUGGAAUAUCACUUCCUUUGUUUGAAAAAUUCCACUUAUUUAAUGUAAAUAGUGUCACUAGAAAACUGCUCAGAUUUUCCUAGGCAUAGUAAAAAAUCAGGGUAAGAAUUGGCAUUAUAUAUAUAUAUAUGUAUAUAUAUAUAUAUAUGUAUAUAUAUAUAUAUAUAUAUAAAUAGCAUUCCACUUCCUCCAGGAACCCCCAACUUCCUCCUUCUACUUCCCCCAGGAAGUGAUGGAAUCUCAAAUUUUAAGACCCCAUUAUGGAUCAAACAAUGUAAACAAAUGUACAAAGAAUGUGAGAUUAAUUUUGCUUAUAACUUGGCUGCUUGAGGUAUACCUGGAGAACUGGUCUCUCUCUCUCUCUCUGAAUUAGUUUGAUAUAGUCCCUAAUAAAAAACUAAAUUAAAAUUCUUUUACAGCUCUGACCAUGGAGUAGGGGGAAGUUAAUGUGGUAUGUGGUUAUAGAGGAGGCUUGAUGGACCACCAAAGCCAGCUCUUAAUGUCUUAUGGAGAAGUCAAAAGACUGUGUGUAAAGUUUAUAGGUCUUUUCCCAAGAGCUUCAUGUAUUCUAAUUUAUUUAAGUUUGAAAUGACUCAGUGUGCUUUUAAAAAAAGCACAUGAACUUGGUAGAAAAAAUGGUGGGGGAAUAGGGGAGGAAUUGGGGGAAAAGGAAUGGUGUAUAUAGUUGAUCAAAACACAGUAUAUGCAUGUACAAAAUUCUCAAUAAAAAAGAAAAAAAAUUCACAUGAAAAGUUUUCAUUUUAAAAGAAAAUGUGCAGAGUCAUUUUAUAAAGUAAAGACAUCUGAA